This 222-nucleotide transfer-messenger RNA is filed under the name Alphaproteobacteria bacterium. RNAcentral describes it as "partial transfer-messenger RNA". It matches the Rfam family "Alphaproteobacteria transfer-messenger RNA", at positions 1 to 214 of the family's 355-position model. From Rfam's summary of the family: Bacterial tmRNA, also known as 10Sa RNA or SsrA, is named for its dual tRNA and mRNA-like properties. Its role is to liberate the mRNA from a stalled ribosome. Lineage: Bacteria; Pseudomonadati; Pseudomonadota; Alphaproteobacteria. The record is from RNAcentral.
GCCCUUCCAAAUCGGGCCGGCAAUCCCUAUAUUAGUUCUGCCGCUUCGGCGGCUAUGGCGAUAAACGUUCUGUGAAAUAAGCGUUGCGGACCCGGGGGCGGUACCCGGCGCCUCCACCAUUUUCUUUUGGCACCCGCGCCAGGCGGGACCACAUGGGGGCGAAACAGGAUCGACGCGCGUGGUAAAGGCAGCGCUUUUGCCCGGUAUGAUACCACCGUUAUC